CUUUAAAUAACAAUAUCAUCAGGAAAAAUGAAUUCAAAUCGUGAAUGGAUGUAUAGAAGGUUAACAGAUGGUCUACCAAAUAAAGAAUUUAAGAUGGGUAUCCUAGAAUUUCUUAAUUUUGCUUGGAAUCAUGUGGAAGGUAGGGAUGGUGAUAAUAUAAGGUGUCCAUAUAAUAGGAGGAGAUGUCGAAACCAGAACUUCGAAGACAUGUUUAUAGUUGAGAAACACAUAUUUAAACACAGUUUCGUACCAGGCUAUUAUGUUUGGACCAUGCAUGGGGAAGCAGAAGUUAUGGCAAAUGGGGACCAGCCAAAGGUGAGGGAUCAAAUUAUGAAUGAUUCAUCAGGAAACACUGGUGCUGGUGCAUUUGACGAGCCUUCUACUGAAUAUCAUAGAAUGGUCCAUGAUGCUGCUGGUCCCUCAUUUAAUCCCAAUGAUAUGGAAGAAGCACCAAACCUAAUGCCCAAUAAUUUUAUAGUUUGUUGAGUUCUGCAAAUGAAGCAGUAUGGCAUGGUUGUGAAAGUCAUUCUAAGCUGUCAGCUGUUGCGUGUAUGUUGCACAUAAAGUCAGAACAUCAGCUCUCCGAAAGAUGUUUUGAUGACAUGUGUCAAUUAUUGAUGCCAAGGGAUAACGUUAUGACACAAAAUUUCUACCAAACAAAGAAGCUAGUUCAAGGUCUAAACAUGCCUGUUCAAAAGAUUCAUAGUUGUAACAACGGGUGUAUGAUUUAUUCGGUUGAAGAAAGUGAGUUGACUUAUUGUAAGUUCUGUAAUCAACCACGAUAUAAGCCAACGACACAUCCUUCUGCUAAUCAGAAAUCUCUUGUUCCUUACAAACAGAUGUAUUAGUUCCCCAUCACUGAUAGUCUACAAUGAUUGUAUGCAUCUAAAGCCACUGCAGAGCAUAUGAGAUGGCACGCUGAGCAUGCAACUGAGGAAGGUGUGAUGCAUCAUUGUUCAGACUCAAAGUGUGGUUACCACAGCCACAACAACAGCCACAGUCACAGCCACAGCCAUAACAACCGCUACAGUCAUAGCCACAGCAGCAGCCACAGCAGCAGCAAUUGCCACAACUCCCACCACCACAGUUAACAAUAGCAACUAACUCAGGCCCAUUCGGUCCUACACCAGCCACAAGGACACCAUUAGGAGGUACUAGAUCCUCAACUGCCUACACUACAACUAAUGGUAAU
This is a non-coding RNA of Jatropha curcas, 1192 nucleotides long. Lineage: Eukaryota; Viridiplantae; Streptophyta; Magnoliopsida; Malpighiales; Euphorbiaceae. The record is from RefSeq and is a predicted model, not a curated record.